This 115-nucleotide ribosomal RNA is filed under the name Pteropus alecto (black flying fox). Lineage: Eukaryota; Metazoa; Chordata; Mammalia; Chiroptera; Pteropodidae. The record is from RNAcentral.
GAUUAUGGCCAAGCCACCCUGAACAAGCCCGAUGUCUGAUCUCGGAAGCUAAGCAGGGUCUGGCCUGGUUAGAACUUGGAUGGGAGACCUCCAGGAAGACCAGGUGCUGUAGGCA